Long non-coding RNA from Mus musculus (house mouse), 432 nucleotides. RefSeq annotates it as predicted gene, 31990. The transcript is spliced from 3 exons. Lineage: Eukaryota; Metazoa; Chordata; Mammalia; Rodentia; Muridae. The record is from RefSeq and is a predicted model, not a curated record.
UUGUUAUAGAGGCAGGGUAACCUGUACCCAAGGCUGCCUUCCAAGUCACUAUGUAACCAACGAUGAUUGGCCUGCCUCCACUCCCCAGUACUGGGGUAAGACAUAUGCAUCAGCACCCCUGGUUCAGAUGGUGCUGGUGCCAGAAUCCAGAGCCUUCUGUGUGCUAGGAAGGGAUGAACUCCUAUGAAACCCUGAGACACGUCGGUCAGUCAACCGGUUUUAGUCUUUGCCAACCAUUAUUGGAGAAGAGAAAAGCUGUGCAAAGUACACAGAGGAAAUUCUGUCUCUAUCUGUCCUCAGCUGGGCCCAGGGUUGUGGCAUCACCGUCAGGUGUUAUGACUGCAUGCAUGUUUGCGCAUCAUGUGUGGUGCAGUACCUGCAGAGGCCAGAAGAGGGAUUCCAGAUGUCCUGGGGCUGGAGUUUAUGGUUGUG